Long non-coding RNA from Lagopus leucura (white-tailed ptarmigan), 761 nucleotides. RefSeq lists it as uncharacterized. Lineage: Eukaryota; Metazoa; Chordata; Aves; Galliformes; Phasianidae. The transcript is spliced from 4 exons. The record is from RefSeq and is a predicted model, not a curated record.
GUGUACCACUAGUGAAAACAAAGAAUGAUGGGUUACAGGGGACUAGACUUCAGGGAAAUACCUUAAUGACAGUAACAAUGAUAUUACCAACUAGUAUGUAAUAAUCUCCUCACCCAGUGACAGCCUGAGCCUCAAAGGUCUCAAAACUGUAACGUUAGAAUAAUUUGAGUGUUCCUUCAAACACAUGGAAGCCUGGCUGCUUCCAUUUUUAACGACUAUACGGAAAAGAAGUAUCCCAAGGCAAAAAAUAACAACCAAAAAUAAAAAAUCACGAGCCUUCCCAUCCACUCAUUUACAAAAACAAUAACUUCAUUUUUCAGACUGGAAAUGCUUUAUUAAAGAGACUAUCAGAUUGGGAAUUCAAAUAGAGAAAAAGGAAGAAUCACCACCUAGACCCUUGGAGAAGUUUGACUGAGAAGUCAGAGUUGAGGCUUUGUACACUUAUUGAACCCUAAGGGCAGAGUUUCUUAGAUCAUGAAGUCUCGUGCUGAUCAGAAAUGUGCUACACAUUCAUGGGAGCCAUCAGUGCAAACACAAAGGCAUAGCUAUAUCUGUGCUCCUUCCUUUACACCACCAGUUGUGUGCUCCCACUACCUGUGGCCACUGGGGAACUAAACCAUCCAACGCCCUCAGAACAUUCCUUGACAGUGCUUUGGGAUGUAACUCCUGUACCUGUAAUCUCAGGGAUUCAUCCACCCUCCUCCCAUCAGUUGGCCAACCACGAUGUGGCAUGUUUCACGUAGCUUCUCAGUGCAACGAGG